CGAGGUUGGUGCUCUCCUCGUCCACAGCGCUUGAAAAAGAAGUCAGGUCACGGGACUACCCCAACGACUGCACCCCGCGGUGCUGGCACGCCUGCGCAAUCACUCGCUCAAAAGAGACUGUUUGCACACCAGCUGGUUUUGGAGCCAAACAUUUUGGCACGCCCAGUGGGACCUGAAAAUUAGGGUUUCUUUCUGAACUCAACCAUUGGGAAGCCCAGCGAUAACCCUUACCAAAAAGGUUACGCUAGCUGCCCAAAGCAUAAGACCUCCAGCUACAGAUCGCAUUCUCGUGCGGACUGUCGUGGUCUAUCUGAGGAACAAGUGACGCAACGAUUCUCUCUGCAGACUCAAUCAUCCAGUAUGUCAACUUCUCAAGGUGAGAAUCGCUCGGCCGCAACUGAAGGUCGGAGCGUCAACGCUAAUCAGGCCAGCGAGCC
This 437-nucleotide long non-coding RNA is filed under the name Rosa chinensis. Its description in RNAcentral is "sRNA RchiOBHm_Chr1g0314011". The record is from RNAcentral. Lineage: Eukaryota; Viridiplantae; Streptophyta; Magnoliopsida; Rosales; Rosaceae.